This 1041-nucleotide ribosomal RNA is filed under the name Triticum aestivum (bread wheat). RNAcentral's name for it is "partial small subunit ribosomal RNA". Lineage: Eukaryota; Viridiplantae; Streptophyta; Magnoliopsida; Poales; Poaceae. The record is from RNAcentral.
AUGGACGCUGAUCACAGUAGCCCCUCGGAAGAUGUUAGGCAAAGCCGAGAGAUGUCGAUCCGCGUACCUAGAACACGAGUCGGAACCGAGUUGCCAGAUGACUCCACACAGGAGAAGGAAGAGGAGGAUGAGGAGGAGGAGCCCUUGAGCCCAACCUCAAGGCUCAUGGAGGGUAUCUAUAUCGUCGUCAUGAUCGGCUUCGGCACGCCCUUAAACCUACCGCUGUUCCGUGCCGGCUUCGAGGCCCAGCUUCGCCAUUACCCGCGCUUCCGCAACAUCCAAACCCAUGAUAGCAUGGUAGAAUGUGGUAAGAGUAAUGAUGCUACAUGGGGUAACAAAUUGGGCUACAUCAUCCUUCCAUUUCGUAUAGCCAUGCACGAUGAUCAAAUUGCAUAUAUCCGUGAAGCAAAGAAGAUGGCGGAGCGGAAAAGGAGGUCACUUGAAGUUAUUAUGACACAAAAGAUGACCGAAAUUUUCCUCAAAUGUUUUGGUGUAAAGGUAUAUUUCAUGAACUGCACAAACUUUGAACAUGUUUAUAUCUCGUCACUUCCAUGUUUCUACUUGCACUGCAUUUAUCCAUCAAAGCAGGCAACAUCCUUUAUCGUGCACCGCAUGCUCGGAAAUACGACAUUAUUGUUCUCCAACAUGAUUGGACCAGUUGAACGGAUAGACUUAUGGGGGCACACGGUUACCUUCAUUGCACCUAGCGUCUACGGGCCAGGAGAGGGCCUAAUUCUGAACUACCAAAGUUAUAGCAGCACUAUCAAGGUAGUUCUAUCGUUUGAUGAGGAAAAGCUUCCAGAUCAUCGCCAUCUUCUGGAUGACUUUGUAGAGUCUCUCAGGCUCAUUAAAGAUGCGGCUUCAAAGCUUACAGAGUCGAGCAAGCAUGAGUCAUUAUACAAAAGUUGGAUGAGUGCGCCACAAGAUACACGUACACAUGUGUGCGAUCAAUAUCACUGUGUAUACCACGUGAUAGAUACUAGUAUACCUAUGUGGUGCAUGUAUUUGGUACUAGAGUAUCUUAGUCCAGAAAUCGAUUAA